This 107-nucleotide small nucleolar RNA is filed under the name Ricinus communis (castor bean). RNAcentral describes it as "Plant small nucleolar RNA R71". It matches the Rfam family "Plant small nucleolar RNA R71". From Rfam's summary of the family: R71 is a member of the C/D box family of snoRNAs containing the C (UGAUGA) and D (CUGA) box motifs. Multiple nearly identical copies of this snoRNA have been identified in Arabidopsis, and it is thought to function as a 2'-O-ribose methylation guide for 18S ribosomal RNA. Lineage: Eukaryota; Viridiplantae; Streptophyta; Magnoliopsida; Malpighiales; Euphorbiaceae. The record is from Rfam by way of RNAcentral.
AAGCCAUGGUGUGGGCAUUGUCUUUGAAGUUCCUUGAACCUUUCCCAAGCUGCAUAAAUUGUUUCACCCAUGUUUUGCUUGAAUUUUGUGAUCUUAUUACGAAACUU